UGUCCUACGGGGGGCAGCAGUGAGGAAUAUUGGUCAAUGGCCGAGAGGCUGAACCAGCCAAGUCGCGUGAGGGAAGAAUGUCCUAAGGAUUGUAAACCUCUUUUGUCGGGGAGCAAAAAGGCUCUGCGGAGUCGUAUUGAGAGUACCCGAAGGAAAAGCAUCGGCUAACUCCGUGCCAGCAGCCGCGGUAAUACGGAGGAUGCGAGCGUUAUCCGGAUUUAUUGGGUUUAAAGGGUGCGCAGGCGGCGUGUCAAGCAAGCGGUAAAAUUUCGGGGCUCAACCCCGUCGUGCCGUUGAAACUGGCG
RNAcentral lists this ribosomal RNA (305 nucleotides) under uncultured bacterium. RNAcentral's name for it is "bacterial SSU rRNA". It matches the Rfam family "Bacterial small subunit ribosomal RNA", at positions 335 to 638 of the family's 1533-position model. The record is from RNAcentral.